AUUGGGGUGCAAUAUAAUUUAAUGCAGGCAUACUAGUCAAAUUAUUUGGUUUAAUUUCCCCUUUUGAGGUUUUUUUCUUUUGUACAUUUGGAAAUUGAAUCAAAUAAUUUGAUUGGUAUGCCUGCAUUAAAUUGUAUUGUGCCCCAA
Molecule: microRNA precursor, 147 nt
Filed under: Medicago truncatula (barrel medic)
Lineage: Eukaryota; Viridiplantae; Streptophyta; Magnoliopsida; Fabales; Fabaceae
Description: miR2651 stem-loop (mtr-MIR2651)
Source: miRBase by way of RNAcentral